UGGGGAAUUUUGGACAAUGGGCGCAAGCCUGAUCCAGCCAUUCCGCGUGCAGGAUGAAGGCCCUCGGGUUGUAAACUGCUUUUGUACGGAACGAAACGGCGCCGGCUAAUACCUGGCGCUAAUGACGGUACCGUAAGAAUAAGCACCGGCUAACUACGUGCCAGCAGCCGCGGUAAUACGUAGGGUGCGAGCGUUAAUCGGAAUUACUGGGCGUAAAGCGUGCGCAGGCGGUGAUGUAAGACAGGUGUGAAAUCCCCGGGCUUAACCUGGGAACUGCAUUUGUGACUGCAUCGCUGGAGUGCGGCAGAGGGGGAUGGAAUUCCGCGUGUAGCAGUGAAAUGCGUAGAUAUGCGGAGGAACACCGAUGGCGAAGGCAAUCCCCUGGGCCUGCACUGACGCUCAUGCACGAAAGCGUGGGGAGCAAACAGGAUUAGAUACCCCCGUAGUCCCUGAGCGGGCUGGCAAGGCGCAU
This 472-nucleotide ribosomal RNA is filed under the name uncultured bacterium. Its description in RNAcentral is "bacterial SSU rRNA". It matches the Rfam family "Bacterial small subunit ribosomal RNA", at positions 355 to 825 of the family's 1533-position model. The record is from RNAcentral.